Homo sapiens (human) is the source of this 2118-nucleotide long non-coding RNA. NCBI's taxonomy places the organism in Eukaryota, Metazoa, Chordata, Mammalia, Primates, Hominidae. The record is from Ensembl.
CACUAAGGAAUAAUGGAACCUCUGUCUGUCCUAUUGGUCAGAUAAGGAAUGCUAAAAGUCAGUUGCUUUCUUUUGGUAUAAGACAUAAUGAUUCAAACAGCUAUUGCUACUUGCAUCUUGGCUAACUGGUAAGUUCCCAGGCAAGCAGGGAACAGGAAAAAAAGAGAGAAAACUCAAUUUGGUAAAUUUGCUAUAACUUAGCAACUAGAAUAAGUCCAUGUUUAUGUUUUUAUUAUUCAUAUCUACCCUGCUUCCACAUUAGUUUGUAUCAAGAGAUAGUGAUAUUAACACAUAGGCUAUGGGUAAGAACUACCCUCUCAAAAUUGUUAGGACAAAGAACCAGUAUAUUAUAAACAUUUGCAUUUACAAGGUGAUAUGCAGUUGUGUCACCUUGUAACCUAACUUCAUGCCUACAAGUUUUGUUUUUAACUUGGAGCCACAACUUUUUCCAUUAGUAAAUUGACAGAAUGUAAUUAUCCUGACAAACCCAUCUUACUUUUUUUUUUUUUUUUUGGAGACAGUCUCACUCUGUUGCCCAGCCUGGAGUGCAGUGGCGUGACCUCGGCUCACUGCAACUUUCAUUUCCCAGGUUCAAGCAGUUCUCUUGUCUUGGCCUCCCAAGUAGCUGAGAUUACAGGCGCAUGCCCCCACGCCUGGCUAAUUUUUAUUUUUAGUAGAGAUGGCGUUUCACCAUGUUGGCCAGGCUGGUCUCAAACUCCUGACUUCAGGUGAUCUGCCUGCCUCAGCCUCCCAAAGUGCUGGGAUUACACGCGUGAGCCACUGUGCUCAGCCCCAUCUUAGAUACUUUACAAAUGAUUUGUAUGACUGCAAGAAUGCAGGUAAUCCCUGGUAUCUGGGAAUAAUUAGAAGAUGUGAAUAAAGAUUUUACUAUACAAAUAUGGUAAAGAAUAUGAACUUAAGUAGCUGAAUAACAAGAAAAUUGUCUCUGGAGUUCAUCCAAAAAGAUAGUUUUAUACCUCAUUUUAGCAGUGACUUAAAGUUAUACAGGCAUUACCAUUAAGACUGAAUCUUUUAAUCUUUAUACUGUCACCCACAAUACAUAUAAAUUAACCACAAGCCUGCUUUUUCCAGUAACAAAUAGCAUAUCAAUAAUUAAGGAACACACAAAAGCAUCAAGGACCAAAUGACUACUAAAGAAUUUCCAACUUACUCAGAAUACCUUUUUAAAAAUCCUUUUAUUGUGGUGGGAAAAAGAAGAAAAAAAAAGGAGAAAAGGGUGGGGGGUUUGUGUCAGAUACUUACGCUGACUUUGGGCUGAGAAGGCAAAGUCCCACUUGCCUUCAUUGUGCUCACUAGCUUGUUGAACGCAGUCAUGUCUCCGUCUUUCUUCAGUUGUCGAUUGUUGGUUACGGCACUCAAGGUCUCUUCUAGGUGUUCUGCCAUGAAGGGAGUUGAAUUCUUCACUUGCUGGUCAACCUUCAAGCCCUUCAGACCUGCUUCUACCUCCUCCACUGAAAGCACAACCCCUGAAUGUGCUGAGAAGUUGAGAACGUCCAGGUUAAAUCAAGCAAAGAGAUAUCUGUCCCGCAGGUCCUUAUCGCUAAGACGGUGAUCCUUCUCAAAGGUCCGGGCAGAGAUUAUCCUCCCACUGCCAAUCCUACGUCCACCAAGCAGACGAAGCCCAUCACUAUCUUUCUCUAAUGGACUUCCUGAGCGCCGGGAGCUAACAGCGGCUGUCACGUGGCAGCCCCCUCCAAAGCUCCGUCUCUGAGGGCUGAGAACAACAUCUAAGUCAUCUUCUUUCACACGCUCUCGUGGAUCUGGAAGGACGUGGGAAAGACAAAGUUAAACAAACCAACAAGGGUGUUUUCUUCUUUUUUAGAUAGUAUGUCCAUGACUGAUGGGAGGAAGGGGAUGGUUGGAAGAGAGUCACCACUAAAAUUGGGCUUAUCAGCAGAUUCAGGGUAACAUGUACAUUAUGUAUUUAAAUAAGGCUGAGACAUUGGCCUUCCUCUUUGCAGCAAUAGAAGUACGUCACGAUAAAUAAUUUUCCAUGAUUAGUCUUUGCAGUGCCUUUAUUUUGACCAAAUCCUUAUCUAAGAAUUAUUAGCAAAUGUUUUGUCAACUAAUAAACUACAGCAGGCGUAUUUGAAAAAA